CCUACGGGAGGCAGCAGUGAGGAAUAUUGGUCAAUGGGCGGAAGCCUGAACCAGCCAAGUCGCGUGAGGGAAUAAGGCCCUACGGGUCGUAAACCUCUUUUGCCGGGGAGCAAGGGCGGGGACGUGUCCCGGCCCGGAGAGUACCCGGAGAAAAAGCAUCGGCUAACUCCGUGCCAGCAGCCGCGGUAAUACGGGGGGUGCAAGCGUUGUCCGGAAUCAUUGGGCGUAAAGGGUUCGUAGGUGGCACGUUAAGUCUGGUGUUAAAGGCGGAAGCUCAACUUCCGUAGGGCACUGGAUACUGGCGAGCUUGAAUGCGGUAGAGGUAAAGGGAAUUCCUGGUGUAGCGGUGAAAUGCGUAGAUAUUAGGAGGAACAUCGGUGGCGUAAGCGCUUUACUGGGCCGUAAUUGACACUGAGGAACGAAAGCCGGGGUAGCAAAUGGGAUUAGAUACCCCUGUAGUC
RNAcentral lists this ribosomal RNA (461 nucleotides) under uncultured bacterium. RNAcentral's name for it is "partial 16S ribosomal RNA". It matches the Rfam family "Bacterial small subunit ribosomal RNA", at positions 338 to 795 of the family's 1533-position model. The record is from RNAcentral.